UUAGUAUUAAUCUGAAAAUGUCAUUUCAAUGCAUGAUCUGUCUGCCAUAGCCAUUAAAACCACAACUCAAAGCACCCGGCUUUUAACUUUUCAGCAAGAUAAUGUGGCCUUCAUCCUGUAGAUUACACGUAGGAAACAAACUCUCUUCACCUGGCGUGAUCAGAUGUCCCCUCUAGAAAGGACCCGUGGCUGCAGCACAGAAGAGGUUCGCGUUCAGGACAAGGGAGACAGCGGGACCACAUGGCCUCAAUGCCAACGUGAAGGCUCCAAAGAGCACUCCGAUGUGGGCCCAAGAGUUCACGCAGGCCACAGGCCACAGGCCACAGGGACUCUGCGCUUGAGACACCACACUCCCACACGGACCUACAGAGUCAUACUAUCUGGAGACGGUGCCCACGACAUCAAUUCCGAGGAGGUAUCACAUGGAGAGAUGCACGGCGACAAGGUGUGAAGGCUUAGCUACCGUAAAAGGCCCCCCCUUCGACCACUGCCACACCACCAGUCCCGCCACAGCAACCCUGGUACCAGGUCCUCGUGUGGCCACGCUCCACGCGCAGCUCCCACGGAAUGCAAGGCUAUGCUCCAAAACAGAAACAAGACAUGCUGCUCUAGACUUGGGGCUCUCAGACUUUUCAGUCUCAGGGCCCCCUUCCAUGCUGAUGAUUGAGGAUCCCUAAGAGGAUUUACUUAUUCGUGUAGGUUAUAUCAAUAUUUACUGGAUUGGGAAUUUAAACCGAGAUCAUUUUUAAAUUUUAGAUCAUUUUAAAAUAACAGUAAGCCCACUAAGCACAACUUUCCAAUGAAGCCUAAAACACUGGAAUUUCUAUGUCAGUAGACAUUUAGUGCACAUUUCAACAUACACUUAAUGUAACUUUUAACAUAUAUUUAAUAUACAUUGAUUUUCCCAAGUAUAUAAUCAAGGAAGACCAUAAUUUAUUCAUCUGGAACUUCAUCAAGGGCUCUUCACCACUUCGGAAAAUCAUGACACCAACAGCAAUACCGCGUGAGGCCCACGAGUCACCAGGACGGCACCCCGUCCUCCUGCGCCGUGGCUCGGAGCACACUCACAGCACUGUCACAGCAGAAGAUAGUCAUCUCACCUCAGUGCACAGUGUACUGGAGCCGCCCCUGAGCAUUUGUGUUCAAAUACUCACCUAAUAAAACCCACUGUGCUCGUUA
Long non-coding RNA from Felis catus (domestic cat), 1179 nucleotides. RefSeq lists it as uncharacterized. The record is from RefSeq and is a predicted model, not a curated record. The transcript is spliced from 2 exons. Lineage: Eukaryota; Metazoa; Chordata; Mammalia; Carnivora; Felidae.